CACCGUAAUGAUGAGCGCACGGAGGAUGCCUAGGCGGAGGCGGCCGAGGAAGGACGCGGCCACGCGGCGAAAUGCUCAGGGGAGGCGCUGGCGGCCUGAGAUCCUGAGAUCUCCGAAUGGGGCACCCCGCCCGCCGCAUUGGCGGGCACGCCAGGGAACUGGCGGGGGCACCGGGGGAACUGAAACAUCUCAGUACCCCGAGGAAGAGAGAGGAUUCCCUCAGUAGCGGCGAGCGAAGGGGGAGGAGCCCAAACCGUGGUGGCGAUACAGCCUGCCGGCGAUGCCACUGCGGGGUAGGACGAGGUCCUGGGAGCGCGCGGCAGCGGGCUCGCUUCAGGCGAGGGAUCAGGCGAAGACCGCUGGAACGGGUCACCGCAGGGGGUGAGAGUCCCGUAGCCGACGGUUCCUCGUGGCGAGUGCAGGGCGAUCGUGAGUACCGCCGGACACGCGACAUCCGGCGGGAAGCGGGGGUGACCACACCCCAAGGCUAAAUACCGUCUCCGACCGAUAGGGAACCAGUACCGUGAGGGAAAGGUGAAAAGCACCCCGGCGAGGGGAGUGAAAGAGAACCUGAAACCGUGCGCUUCCGGCCGGUCGGAGCCUGGGGAGACCUGGGUGACGGCGUGCCUUUUGUAGAAUGAGCCGACGAGUGGGUCGCGGCGGCGAGGCUAAGCCAGGGACAGGCGGAGCCGGAGCGAAAGCGAGUCCGAAAGGGCGAAUAGUUCGUGCGGAUCGACCCGAAACUGGGUGAUCUACCCAUGGCCAGGCUGAAGCGGGCGGAACACGCCUGUGGAGGGCCGAACCGGGACCUGUUGCAAAAGGUCCGGAUGAGCUGUGGGUAGCGGUGAAAUGCCAAGCGAACCCAGAGAUAGCUGGUUCUCCCCGAAAUGCAUUUAGGUGCAGCCCCGGCAUGGGGCGCGGCGGAGGUAUCGCGCUGGAUUGACGAGGGGGCUACUCGCUUACCGACUCAAACCAAACGACGAAUGCCGCCGCGAUGGUGCCGGGCGUGAGACAGCGGGUGCGAAGAUUCGUUGUCGAGAGGGAAACAGCCCAGACCGCCAGCUAAGGUCCCCAACUACGGACUAAGUGGGCAAGGUAGUCGCGGUGCAGAAACAACCAGGAGGUUGGCUUAGAAGCAGCCAUCCUUGAAAGAGUGCGUAAUAGCUCACUGGUCGAAUGUGCCGCGGCGCCGACAAUCCACCGGGGCUCAAGCCCGUGACCGAAGCCGCGGAUUGUGUGCGAGCAUGAUGGUAGGGGAGCGUCCCCGUCGGCGGUGAAGCUGGCCUGGGAGGGCUGGUGGAGCGGCGGGGAGUGCGAAUGUCGGCAUGAGUAGCGCGAGGGAGGUGCGAAUCCUCCCCACCGAAUGCCCGAGGGUUCCGCAGCCAUGCUGAUCAGCUGCGGGUGAGGCGGGCCUAAGCCGAGGGCUGGCGCCGUAGGCGAUGGAGUACGGGUGAAGAUUCCCGUCCCACGUCCGACCGCAGCCGGGGCAACCCGGCGAGAGCGAAGGGGGGACGCGGGGGGCUAGGUCCUGGGGUGGCAACACCCUCCAACCCGGUAGGGAGCCUGAGCAGGCAAAUCCGCUUGGGCGCUGACUGAGAGGGGAGUGUAAGGGGAGGUCGUGAGGCCGAACCGUAGGGAUUGAGGCCGGACCGUCGAGAAAAGCCUCUAGCGAGGGCGGGCGUGACCGUACCGCAAACCGACACAGGUGGGCACGUCGAGGAGACGAAGGUGGACGAGAGACCCCCGGUCAAGGAACUCGGCAACAUGGCCCCGUAACUUCGGGAGAAGGGGCGCCCCGGUAGCGUGAAGCGGCUGGCCCGUGGAGCGUGAGGGGGCCGCAGAGAGCGGGCCCAGGCGUCUGUUUACCAAAAACACCGGUCCCUGCCAACGCGGAGAGCGUGGACGUAUAGGGGCUGAGACCUGCCCAGUGCCGGAAGGUUAAGGGGAGUGGUGCAAGCUGCGAACCGAAGCCCCGGUAAACGGCGGCCGUAACUAUAACGGUCCUAAGGUAGCGAAAUUCCUUGUCGGGUAAGUUCCGACCUGCACGAAUGGCGUA
Molecule: ribosomal RNA, 2056 nt
Filed under: activated sludge metagenome
Description: bacterial LSU rRNA
Rfam family: Bacterial large subunit ribosomal RNA
Source: RNAcentral